AAAAAAAAUAAUAAUAAGAGAAAGAGAGAAAAUGUGGGGUGGAUGCUGCUGUUUUUUGAUGGUGGAGUGGAUGUUAGCGGAUGUUUGUUAGCGGAUGCUGGCUGGGAGGACCUCGAAGAGCACAUUUGAGCAGAGAUCUGAGUGGAAGAGUAGAGGGGAAGUGUGAGAAUAAACUGUGGGGACAGAGAAGGAGAAAUGUUAAGUCAGAUAGAAGCCAAAGGAAUUCACACGUGAUUAAAGUCUCUCUCUCUCUCUCUCUCUCUCUCUCUCUCUCUCUCUCUUCUCUCUCUCCUCUCUCUCUCUCUCUCCUUCCCUCCCUCUCUCUUCUUCUCCCCCUCACCUCUCUCUCCUGAAACAGUUUCUUAUACUAUGCAACCCAGGGUAGCCUCAAGUUUGUCAUCCUCCUGUCUCAGUCUGCAGAUUACUAGCUCGAGUGUGUGCCGCCGCCCAUGUAAAUUGUUUUCCAUGAUUUAGAUAUAAGAUGCUCAUGUGCUGUGCUGUGUGGAACAGCUGGCGAAAACCCCAGUGCACUCGGUGGGAAGACAAGAGGAAUCUCUGAGUUUUGAAACUCAAGAAUACUGCAGAAAACUGAUCCAUGAGGGAAACUUUCCUGAUUAAGUUUUCCAAAAAGCAGGUCAGGGAAGAACUCAUGGAUUCGCUGCAGACAUGCGGAAGAAGUGUUGGCCAUUUCAGAGAGAUUGUCCCAUUAAAGUCCCUGACUGUUUACCAAGCAGCAUAGAGAGGCUACUGCAAAACAUGGCAAGGCAUCUGUCUACAGAACUCCUGUCAGACAUCUGGACCAGUGUCUUGUGUUAAGAAUCCCUGUAUGAUUCAGAACCAAAGUUAUUCGCAUGAUCAACACAUUGCUAUAAAGUUGUGCCUAGGUAAAAGAGCCACUCAAAGAUGAAUCCAAUCCAUUCUCAUGGAAGAAUGUGAAGCAUUUAUUGACUGGCUUUCAUAUUCUAUGUGUCAGCUAACUUUCAAACCACUAUCAUAACUUGUUCAAGUUUGGUACUAUUGAAGACUGUUCUUGAUUAUUUGGAAAAAAUGUAUUGAGACGCUUUCUUCCCUUUGGAACAAGACAGAGAAGAUCAGCAUGGCCUCUUCACAAGAGUGACAUGCAAAUUUGUGAAGCAUUUCAAUUUUUUAGUCUUAGUUUUAAACGUGCAUUUUCCUUGCCAAUUACAAUUAUACACCCGUGCUAAGCCAGAUCUUUUCGUAUCAUUUGACUAAUAUAGCAUGUAAGAAAUGAAAUGCAGUAGCACAUAUGGAUACCCAGCUCUUUUCUUCUAAGUUUGAUAUUUGAAGGGGCCACAUAAAUAUAAGACAACAGCUUUCUUCUUACUAAGUUACUUUUUGUUUUAGAAGACACAGAUAUUUCUCAUCCAGUAAACAUGAAAUGGUCACAUUCUUUUAGCUAAUGAAUAUUUUGAAUAUCACUUGGUUUGAAUUUUUGGAUUGGAUACAGUACAAUAAGUGUAAUGUGACCGCAUAAAGAAUUUGAGGUACAGCAGGGGUCAUAGUUGUUUUGUAGAGUUCUUGUCUCUCCUGCCAGAGCACUGCAGCACAUGGCCAUAAUCCCAGCACUCACUGGAGGUGGAGGCAGGAGGACCAGGAGUUCAAGGUCAUCUUCAGCUACAUGAUGACUUUAGACUGUGACAAGUUGACUUAUGUUCCGAACAAGAUCCUCUACCCUCUCCUGACUUCUGAAGGCAUGCAAGUGAUACUGAGAAAUACAUUCGGGCAAAGCAUCCAUAUGCACA
Non-coding RNA from Cricetulus griseus (Chinese hamster), 1763 nucleotides. NCBI's taxonomy places the organism in Eukaryota, Metazoa, Chordata, Mammalia, Rodentia, Cricetidae. The record is from RefSeq and is a predicted model, not a curated record.